Molecule: long non-coding RNA, 351 nt
Organism: Sciurus carolinensis (gray squirrel)
Lineage: Eukaryota; Metazoa; Chordata; Mammalia; Rodentia; Sciuridae
Exons: 3
Source: RefSeq, a predicted model, not a curated record
GCCAGAGAAUUUGCUGGCUCUCUCUCCAUCAUGUGAGGACAACAGCGAGAAGGCAACCUUUUGCAAGCUGUGAAGAGAAGCUUCAUCAGAACCUGACCAUGCAGGCUCUUUCAGUCUCCAGAACUGUGAGAAAGCUUCUGUGUCUUUGUAAAUGCCAUUUCCAUUCUCUGGACCACCUUUCUGUUUGUUACUUUUGAUAUUAUGCUUCUCCAAAUUGAGCAUGAGGAAGGUGAGCAUGGUGAACUUAGAUGCCACAUGAUGAAGAGCUGGAGUCACAGAGCAGAAGUCUGGAUCCCUAGAUGUUGUUUGGAGGAGAGCUGAGAAACAAACAGUGUGUGUUCAACUUUAAAC